UUUCCGUUGAGUCCUGAGUCCGUUGAGAC
This 29-nucleotide small RNA is filed under the name Bombyx mori (domestic silkworm). RNAcentral describes it as "ovarian small RNA-38302". The record is from RNAcentral. Lineage: Eukaryota; Metazoa; Arthropoda; Insecta; Lepidoptera; Bombycidae.